RNAcentral lists this ribosomal RNA (490 nucleotides) under uncultured bacterium. RNAcentral's name for it is "partial 16S ribosomal RNA". It matches the Rfam family "Bacterial small subunit ribosomal RNA", at positions 30 to 507 of the family's 1533-position model. The record is from RNAcentral.
AUUGAACGCUGGCGGCAGGCCUAACACAUGCAAGUCGAACGGUAACAGGAAGCAGCUUGCUGCUUUGCUGACGAGUGGCGGACGGGUGAGUAUUGUCUGGGAAACUGCCUGAUGGAGGGGGAUAACUACUGGAAACGGUAGCUAAUACCGCAUAACGUCGCAAGACCAAAGAGGGGGACCUUCGGGCCUCUUGCCAUCGGAUGUGCCCAGAUGGGAUUAGCUAGUAGGUGGGGUAACGGCUCACCUAGGCGACGAUCCCUAGCUGGUCUGAGAGGAUGACCAGCCACACUGGAACUGAGACACGGUCCAGACUCCUACGGGAGGCAGCAGUGGGGAAUAUUGCACAAUGGGCGCAAGCCUGAUGCAGCCAUGCCGCGUGUAUGAAGAAGGCCUUCGGGUUGUAAAGUACUUUCAGCGGGGAGGAAGGGAGUAAAGUUAAUACCUUUGCUCAUUGACGUUACCCGCAGAAGAAGCACCGGCUAACUCCGUG